UCGUCCGUUCGUCCGUCUGUCCCGCUUCAGGUUAAAGUUUUUGGUCGAGGUAGUUUUUGAUGAAGUUGAAGUCCAAUCGACUUCAAACUUGGUACACAUGUUCCCUAUGAUAUGAUCUUUCUAAUUUUAAUGCCAAAUUAGAGAUUUUACCCCAAUUUCACGGUCCACUGAACAUAGAAAAUGAAAGUGCAUGUUUCAGGUUAAAGUUUUUCAGGUUGAAGUUUUUGGUCAAGGUAGUUUUUGAUGAAGUUGAAGUCCAAUCAACUUGAAAUUUAGUACACAUGUUCCUUAUGAUAUGAUCUUUCUAAUUUUAAAGCCAAAUUAAACUUUUGACCCCAAUUUCACGGUCCACUGAACAUAGAAAAUGAAAGUGCAUGUUUCAGGUUAAAGUUUUUGGUCAAGGUAGUUUUUGAUGAAGUUGAAGUCCAAUCAACUUGAAACUUAGUACACAUGUUCCUUAUGAUAUGAUCUUUCUAAUUUUAAAGCCAAAUUAAACUUUUGACCCCAAUUUCACGGUCCACUGAACAUAGAAAAUGAAAGUGCAUGUUUCAGGUUAAAGUUUUUCAGGUUAAAGUUUUUGGUCAAGGUAGUUUUUG
This 596-nucleotide long non-coding RNA is filed under the name Mytilus galloprovincialis (Mediterranean mussel). The record is from RNAcentral. Lineage: Eukaryota; Metazoa; Mollusca; Bivalvia; Mytilida; Mytilidae.